Molecule: ribosomal RNA, 222 nt
Filed under: Chloropicon mariensis
Lineage: Eukaryota; Viridiplantae; Chlorophyta; Chloropicophyceae; Chloropicales; Chloropicaceae
Description: partial Bacterial large subunit ribosomal RNA
Rfam family: Bacterial large subunit ribosomal RNA
Source: RNAcentral
UUAUUAGAGGUAGAGCUACUGAUUGGGCUAGGGGGCUUCACCGCCUACCAAACCCUGACAAACUCCGAAUGCUAGUAAAUAUCUCCGGGAGUGAGGCUGUGGGCGCUAAGGUCCAUGGCCGAGAGGGAAAUAACCCAGAUUAACAGCUAAGGUCCCUAAUAGAUAGUUAAGUUGAUCAAACGAAGUUUGAACCCUAUAACAGCCAGGAUGUUGGCUUGGAAG